Small nuclear RNA from Nycticebus coucang (slow loris), 104 nucleotides. Lineage: Eukaryota; Metazoa; Chordata; Mammalia; Primates; Lorisidae. The record is from RefSeq and is a predicted model, not a curated record.
CAGGACAUAUCCUAAAAUUGGAACUUUUAAACUGGAUACAGAGAAGAUUAGAAUGGCCCCUGUGCAGGGAUGGCAUGCAAAUAUGUGAAGCAUUCCAUAUUUUA